This 253-nucleotide ribosomal RNA is filed under the name uncultured bacterium. RNAcentral describes it as "partial 16S ribosomal RNA". It matches the Rfam family "Bacterial small subunit ribosomal RNA", at positions 524 to 776 of the family's 1533-position model. The record is from RNAcentral.
UACGAGAGCCCCAAGCGUUAUCCGGAAUUACUGGGCGUAAAGGGUGCGUAGGUGGCAUUAUUAGUCGUCCGUUAAAUCCCCAAGCUCAACUUGGGAAUCGCGAACGAAACGGUAAAGCUAGAGAGUGUGAGAGGUGUACGGAACUUAUGGUGUAGGGGUGAAAUCCGUUGAUAUCAUAGGGAACACCAAAUGCGAAGGCAGUACACUGGCACACAUCUGACACUGAAGCACGAAAGCGUGGGUAGCGAAUGGG